UACGUAGGGAGCAAGCGUUGUCCGGAAUCAUUGGGCGUAAAGCGCGCGUAGGCGGCCUCAUAAGUCCGUUGUGAAAGUCAAAGGCUCAACCUUUGAAAGCCGAUGGAUACUGUGAGGCUAGAGUCCGGAAGAGGCGAGUGGAAUUCCUGGUGUAGCGGUGGAAUGCGUAGAGAUCCGGAAGAACACCGGUGGCGAAGGCGGCCCGCUGGGCAGGAAGGCUCGCAAGAGCCGGCUGACGCUGAGGCGCGACAGCGUGGGGAGCAAACAGG
This 269-nucleotide ribosomal RNA is filed under the name uncultured bacterium. Its description in RNAcentral is "partial 16S ribosomal RNA". It matches the Rfam family "Bacterial small subunit ribosomal RNA", at positions 524 to 776 of the family's 1533-position model. The record is from RNAcentral.